ACAGAAACCCCGAACAUUAGCUUACAAAAUAAUAUCCAUGAAACAUUCCCAAGUGAUUAAUGGCAAAUUCUGUUAGGGUUUGACCCCCGGAUCACGAAAAUGCCACUGCAAUUUUUUGAGUUUGCUUGUAAAAGAUUUUUUUAAUGUUCAAAAGGAAAAAUUAUGGCUUCGAAAUUUUUCUUUAAUCUGUAUUGUUUCCACCCAAUUUAGACAGUUUUUGAAAUAUAUGAUUGGAUAAGUAAUGCCUGCAAAGGAGCUCGACAAAGACGAAAAAUGUGAAUUUUGGACGACUGUAAGUCGGCUGUACAUAUCGACAGCCGAUCAGAUGCACAGCAAUGACCAUUUAGAAAAAAUGAUGUUAGUGGGAUUUAUGAAAAAAUUCAGAACUUUCAUACCUCAGGGGUCCAGCACUAACAGAAUUUGCCAUCAGUCGCUGGGACGCCUUUUGGCUGUAAACUACUGGAAUUAAUACAUUUUGUGAUUUUCAGUUAAUCAAGCACGGUUAUGUGUUUAAAACAAAAUUAAAUUUAAAACUAUUAAUGAUAAAACCUUUUAUUUUAAAAGAUUAAUUUUUUA
Non-coding RNA from Drosophila suzukii, 576 nucleotides. NCBI's taxonomy places the organism in Eukaryota, Metazoa, Arthropoda, Insecta, Diptera, Drosophilidae. The record is from RefSeq and is a predicted model, not a curated record.